Molecule: transfer RNA, 74 nt
Filed under: Ignavibacteriota bacterium
Lineage: Bacteria; Pseudomonadati; Ignavibacteriota
Also listed under: 1 other name
Description: Ignavibacteriae bacterium (activated sludge metagenome) tRNA-Thr
Rfam family: tRNA
About the family: Transfer RNA (tRNA) molecules are approximately 80 nucleotides in length. Their secondary structure includes four short double-helical elements and three loops (D, anti-codon, and T loops).
Source: RNAcentral
GCCGUCUUAGCUCAGCUGGCCAGAGCAACUCAUUCGUAAUGAGUAGGUCGGGGGUUCGACUCCCCCAGACGGCU